This 126-nucleotide ribosomal RNA is filed under the name Paenibacillus haidiansis. RNAcentral's name for it is "partial 23S ribosomal RNA". It matches the Rfam family "Bacterial large subunit ribosomal RNA", at positions 1 to 125 of the family's 2925-position model. RNAcentral also lists the same sequence under 2 other names. The record is from RNAcentral. Lineage: Bacteria; Bacillati; Bacillota; Bacilli; Caryophanales; Paenibacillaceae.
GGUUAAGCUACUAAGAGCACACGGAGGAUGCCUAGGCGCUAGGAGCCGAAGAAGGACGUGGCGAACAACGAUACUGCCUCGGGGAGCUGUAAGCAAGCUUUGAUCCGGGGAUGUCCGAAUGGGGAA